Molecule: ribosomal RNA, 253 nt
Filed under: uncultured bacterium
Lineage: Bacteria
Description: partial 16S ribosomal RNA
Rfam family: Bacterial small subunit ribosomal RNA
Source: RNAcentral
GACAGAGGUGCCAAGCGUUAGGCGGAAUCACUGGGCUUAAAGCGUGUGUAGGCGGGUCGUUAAGUACCUUGUGAAAUCCCCCGGCUCAACCGGGGAACGGCUGGGUAUACUGGCGAUCUUGAGCCACCUAGGGGCAGUCGGAACAAGUGGUGGAGCGGUGAAAUGCGUAGAUAUCAGGAGGAACACCUGCGGUGUAGACGGCUUUCUGGACCAUUGUUGACGCUGAGACACGAAAGCGUGGGUAGCAAACAGG